UCCCUGCCCAUGGCAGGGGGUUGGAACUGGAUAAUCUUAUGGUCUUUUCCAACAGGUCUCAACAUCAUUGUUUCUAUUCAUCACUUCUAUUCCUGUGAAGCUGUGGCUGCCCCAUCCCUGGCAGUGUUCAACCUGCUCUAGUGGAAGGUGUCCCUGCCCGUGGCAGGGGGUUGGACCUGGAUGAGCUUUAAAGUCCCUUCCAACCCUGGAGCAGGAGGAAGAGGAAUGGCAGCAAAGCGACCGUGUGUGUCUAUCUGGCUUUUACGCAUGGAUGAGGAGCUCUGAGACCUUCCUGCAUCGUUUCAGACCUCUCCUGGACUUCAUUUAUCACACUUUAGUCCUGCUCUUUGUGGCUCUACAUAGAUAGAUUUAAGCCCAGAAAGGAACUUUGUAAUGGUGGCAUUAUACAAUUGUGCCUCUUGUCACAAGUGGCCAAGACUCAAAUGUACUCAAACCUCCUCCAAUGUGAGUGUGUGCACUAGGAAAGAAGUCUUCAGGAGAGGAGUUGAGGAUGGAGCACGCAGCAAAGAGGUUGGCAUCUACCACCACAAGCAGCAUUUCAUGGUUUUCAAAAGGAACCCAAGCCCCUGCGUGUCCCAAGCAUGGUCCUGCUUGACUGGCUCCGGUAAAUGCCCUUGGCACACACUCAGAAGGUCUGAAUGCUGCCGUUGUCACAGUGCGAGGGGGGAAGGCAGCGGGAAAGAGACAGCAGGGCAAUGAAGAAGCUGUGCUGCUGGUGGCACAGGGGACAACAUAGGAACAUGCAGCAGUAACGGGGCACAGGGCUGCUUCCUCCCACCACAAGUGACAUUUAGCUCCAUCCCAUCCUAACAUGGAGCCUGGCAAAAUGCCUCUGGUACCUUCCAAGUGUACGAAGGGUUUCAGAGCUCCAAAGGAUUCCAGAGCUCUGCAGCCCGAGGCUGAGCUGGGCUUGAGGUGACAAGCUGGAGGCCAAGCUCCUUUCUGGCUUCACCUUUCUCCUGGCACCGGCAACAUCCAGAAAUCAGGAAAGGGAUUUGGGAUGCUGCUUCCCCACGCAAAGCUGACCAGCUCCGCUAUCACCGUAUCAGCAAGACCCCAGUAACGGGAAACCCCCUGUGUGAGCAGUCAGAGCCAAGUCGAUUCUACGAAGCUAUUCUGUGAUCACAGAGCCCUUCCCAGGAUGCUGCUUUAGGAAAGCGGAUGGAGCAGCAUGUGAGCUACAGUGCUCAGGGAGUGCAGGUAACACCCAGACCACACUGCUGCAGGUAUUCCAGGCAUGGAGAAGGGAAUGGAAGUGCUGGGAUGAGAACAGCAUCAACCCCCAGAGCUCUAAUUUUCCUAGCAAUCCCUGCUCCUCACCUCUGCUUCCAGCCCUGAGCCCCGCUGUGUCCUGGGCAGCAACACACCAGAGGGAUGUGGAGGCCGGAGGAGGCCACGGAGCUGC
Molecule: long non-coding RNA, 1426 nt
Organism: Strigops habroptila (Kakapo)
Lineage: Eukaryota; Metazoa; Chordata; Aves; Psittaciformes; Psittacidae
Exons: 6
Source: RefSeq, a predicted model, not a curated record